RNAcentral lists this ribosomal RNA (252 nucleotides) under uncultured bacterium. Its description in RNAcentral is "partial 16S ribosomal RNA". It matches the Rfam family "Bacterial small subunit ribosomal RNA", at positions 524 to 776 of the family's 1533-position model. The record is from RNAcentral.
UACAGAGGUCCCAAGCGUUGUUCGGAUUUACUGGGCGUAAAGGGUGCGUAGGUGGCGGGAUAAGUCUGGUGUGAAAGCUCCGAGCUCAACUCGGAAAAGCAUUGGAAACUGUCCCGCUUGAGGGUCGGAGGGGAGACUGGAAUUCUCGGUGUAGCAGUGAAAUGCGUAGAUAUCGAGAGGAACACCAGUGGCGAAGGCGAGUCUCUGGACGACUCCUGACACUGAGGCACGAAAGCUAGGGGAGCAAACAGG